This 422-nucleotide ribosomal RNA is filed under the name uncultured bacterium. RNAcentral describes it as "bacterial SSU rRNA". It matches the Rfam family "Bacterial small subunit ribosomal RNA", at positions 29 to 438 of the family's 1533-position model. The record is from RNAcentral.
AUUGAACGCUGGCGGCGUGCCUAACACAUGCAAGUCGCGCGCGAAUAGGGGGCAACCCCUUAGUAGAGCGGCGAACGGGUGAGUAACACGUGGGUAAUCUACCUUCGAGUGGGGAACAACAUCGGGAAACUGGUGCUAAUUCCGCAUGACAUCGUCGGGGCUUCGGUCCUGACGAUCAAAGCCGGGGAUCGCAAGACCUGGCGCUUGAAGAUGAGCCCGCGUCCGAUUAGCGAGUUGGCGGGGUAAUGGCCCACCAAGGCUUCGAUCGGUAGCCGGCCUGAGAGGGCGGACGGCCACACUGGAACUGAGACACGGUCCAGACUCCUACGGGAGGCAGCAGUGGGGAAUUUUCGCAAUGGGGGCAACCCUGACGAAGCAACGCCGCGUGGGGAUGAAGGUCUUCGGAUUGUAAACCCCUGUCG